This 466-nucleotide ribosomal RNA is filed under the name uncultured bacterium. RNAcentral describes it as "partial 16S ribosomal RNA". It matches the Rfam family "Bacterial small subunit ribosomal RNA", at positions 28 to 507 of the family's 1533-position model. The record is from RNAcentral.
GAUGAACGCUGGCGGCGUGCUUAACACAUGCAAGUCGAACGAUGAAGCUCAGCUUGCUGGGUGGAUUAGUGGCGAACGGGUGAGUAACACGUGAGUAACCUGCCCUUAACUCUGGGAUAAGCCUGGGAAACUAGGUCUAAUACCGGAUAGGAGCGUCCACCGCAUGGUGGGUGUUGGAAAGAUUUAUCGGUUUUGGAUGGACUCGCGGCCUAUCAGCUUGUUGGUGAGGUAAUGGCUCACCAAGGCGACGACGGGUAGCCGGCCUGAGAGGGUGACCGGCCACACUGGGACUGAGACACGGCCCAGACUCCUACGGGAGGCAGCAGUGGGGAAUAUUGCACAAUGGGCGAAAGCCUGAUGCAGCGACGCCGCGUGAGGGAUGACGGCCUUCGGGUUGUAAACCUCUUUCAGUGGGGAAGAAGCGAAAGUGACGGUACCUGCAGAAGAAGCACCGGCUAACUACGUG